GUGAAGUAAAUCCAGAUCCUUUUUAUUUAUUAAAAAAAUCAAAUGUAUCCCAACCUGUUUGUCUAAGCGAAAAAAUGAGCGACUGUACGUCUGGAUAUAGUAUAAAUACGGUGGUGUCUCAAGUGUACAGCAUCAUUCAGGAUCAAGUAAUCCAGAAGACAAACAAUCAAUCAAAAUGAAAUUCAUCCUCUUAGCUCUUGCUUUCAUCGGCAUGGCCUCUGCCGUUUAUGUUGCUCCCUAUGGUGGGUUGGGAUACUCUAGCUGGGGACAUGCUCCAGUUGUUUCUGCUUAUUCUGCUCCAGUUGUUUCUGCCUACUCUGCUCCCGUAUACGGUGCUGGAUUGGGUUACGGAUACUCUGGAUUUGGAUACGGUCUCUGGAAGAAGAAGGCUUAAGUCGAGUUAGAUAAAUUGGAUUAUUGGAACGGAAAUUGGCUUUUAAAAUAAAUUAGAUCAUAUUCAAAAAAG
Long non-coding RNA from Hermetia illucens (black soldier fly), 466 nucleotides. RefSeq lists it as uncharacterized. NCBI's taxonomy places the organism in Eukaryota, Metazoa, Arthropoda, Insecta, Diptera, Stratiomyidae. The transcript has 3 exons. The record is from RefSeq and is a predicted model, not a curated record.